UCCUCAGUAGCUCAGUGGUAGAGCGAUCGGCUGUUAACCGAUCAGCCGUAGGUUUGAAUCCUACUUGGGGAU
This is a non-coding RNA of Benincasa hispida (wax gourd), 72 nucleotides long. Lineage: Eukaryota; Viridiplantae; Streptophyta; Magnoliopsida; Cucurbitales; Cucurbitaceae. The record is from the annotation of a RefSeq genome assembly.